This 104-nucleotide ribosomal RNA is filed under the name Elaeagnus angustifolia var. orientalis. RNAcentral describes it as "partial 5.8S ribosomal RNA". Lineage: Eukaryota; Viridiplantae; Streptophyta; Magnoliopsida; Rosales; Elaeagnaceae. The record is from RNAcentral.
UAUAUGAGAACAUGUGUGUGAAUUGCAGAAUCCCGUGACCCAUAGUGUCUUUGACGCAGUUGCGCCCGAAGCCAUCCGGUUGAGGGCACGUCUGCCUGGGCGUC